This 333-nucleotide unclassified non-coding RNA is filed under the name Hevea brasiliensis (rubber tree). The record is from RNAcentral. Lineage: Eukaryota; Viridiplantae; Streptophyta; Magnoliopsida; Malpighiales; Euphorbiaceae.
GGGGUAAGCUCUUUUAUCUCUACAAAAUCCAAGAACAGGAAUCGAGACCCUUUGACGUCAAAUUCAGGAACCCAGAUGCAAAAACUGAAACAAUAACAGUAACAAACUUCCCAUAUAAAUCACACACACAAUAAAGCUUCUUUGUGUCCUGCAUACCAAAAACAGCGGCUAACACAGCUGAAUCAGACAGGGGUAUGAUAAGAGACUUGAAAGAGAAGCAUAGCAAGAAAGGCUUUAGUUUUCCUUUCCUUUCCCUUUUACUCGCUUACUUUGGACCCGAGAGAGAGAGAGAGAGAGAGAGCAUAAGUGGCUAAAGCAGCCCCAGCAGCCCCC